Molecule: ribosomal RNA, 426 nt
Filed under: uncultured bacterium
Lineage: Bacteria
Description: bacterial SSU rRNA
Rfam family: Bacterial small subunit ribosomal RNA
Source: RNAcentral
GGGGAAUAUUGGACAAUGGGGGGAACCCUGAUCCAGCCAUGCCGCGUGUGUGAAGAAGGCCUUUUGGUUGUAAAGCACUUUAAGCGAGGAGGAGGCUACCGAGAUUAAUACUCUUGGAUAGUGGACGUUACUCGCAGAAUAAGCACCGGCUAACUCUGUGCCAGCAGCCGCGGUAAUACAGAGGGUGCAAGCGUUAAUCGGAUUUACUGGGCGUAAAGCGCGCGUAGGUGGCCAAUUAAGUCAAAUGUGAAAUCCCCGAGCUUAACUUGGGAAUUGCAUUCGAUACUGGUUGGCUAGAGUAUGGGAGAGGAUGGUAGAAUUCCAGGUGUAGCGGUGAAAUGCGUAGAGAUCUGGAGGAAUACCGAUGGCGAAGGCAGCCAUCUGGCCUAAUACUGACACUGAGGUGCGAAAGCAUGGGGAGCAAAC